This 234-nucleotide unclassified non-coding RNA is filed under the name plant metagenome. Its description in RNAcentral is "partial contains small subunit ribosomal RNA, internal transcribed spacer 1, and 5.8S ribosomal RNA". The record is from RNAcentral.
UUUCCGUAGGUGAACCUGCGGAAGGAUCAUUAAAGUUAUAGUCCCCUGGCCCUCUGGGCUGGGGUCUUCUAUACCACCCUUUGUUUAUCACACCUUUGUUGCUUUGGCAGGCCUGCCCUCGGGCUGCUGGCUCCGGCCGGCGAGCGCCUGCCAGAGGACCUAAACUCUGUUUGUCUAUAAUGUCUGAGUACUAUAUAAUAGUUAAAACUUUCAACAACGGAUCUCUUGGUUCUG